This 229-nucleotide unclassified non-coding RNA is filed under the name Hevea brasiliensis (rubber tree). Lineage: Eukaryota; Viridiplantae; Streptophyta; Magnoliopsida; Malpighiales; Euphorbiaceae. The record is from RNAcentral.
GUCAAGUUUCUGCUGUUACUUCCAACGUUCAAAGUGCUGGUCGAGAAUCUGAAUUUUUGAAAUUAUUUCUUAUUCCAUCCAGAGAUAAGGAUGAUUCCUUGAAGCCACAGUAUGAAAGCCACAUUUCAGCAUUAUGGAAUUUGCGGGAUCAGGUUUUGUCAAAGAGAGGUCCGUCUUUCUCAAGGACUGUGUCUGAGCGUGAUUGGGUGAAAAAUUCUGCCAAGAUAUG